This 70-nucleotide transfer RNA is filed under the name Abronia graminea. RNAcentral describes it as "tRNA-Thr". It matches the Rfam family "tRNA". From Rfam's summary of the family: Transfer RNA (tRNA) molecules are approximately 80 nucleotides in length. Their secondary structure includes four short double-helical elements and three loops (D, anti-codon, and T loops). Lineage: Eukaryota; Metazoa; Chordata; Lepidosauria; Squamata; Anguidae. The record is from RNAcentral.
GUUUUAAUAGCUUAAUAACAAAGCACUGGUUUUGUAAGCCAAAGAUGGGGUUUUAGCCCCCCUUAAUACA